GCGGCCAUAGAUUAGCUGGGAGAUCGUCAGACUGAAGAUGUGAAGGUCGUGUGUUCGAGUCACACUGGCCGCA
Molecule: transfer RNA, 73 nt
Filed under: Metarhizium robertsii ARSEF 23
Lineage: Eukaryota; Fungi; Ascomycota; Sordariomycetes; Hypocreales; Clavicipitaceae
Description: tRNA-Phe (GAA) (tRNA-Phe-GAA-4-1)
Rfam family: tRNA
About the family: Transfer RNA (tRNA) molecules are approximately 80 nucleotides in length. Their secondary structure includes four short double-helical elements and three loops (D, anti-codon, and T loops).
Source: RNAcentral